Molecule: non-coding RNA, 1478 nt
Organism: Struthio camelus australis
Lineage: Eukaryota; Metazoa; Chordata; Aves; Struthioniformes; Struthionidae
Source: RefSeq, a predicted model, not a curated record
CUGGCGAAGCCCGGGCAGGGCCGCACACGGCUCGGGGAGCCGCCUCGGACAAGAGGGCUUCGCCACCGCCGUCCGUGCUCAGGCUGCCAGGCCUGCUCUCCUGCUCCGUUCCCCUCCAAACGCUGCACAGAAAUCUCCACUCCCGCUUGUCCCUCGCUUCUAGGCACCUGACCCUUGCUAUACACCACCCAGCUGCGCCUAACUGUCUCCAGAUGUAGAAGGACCUUUCUGGACUUUCCAAAAACAAGAAGAUGGAUGAGGAAAAUACAGACCCCACAGAACGCAAAGCAUGGAGGAGAUGGAGAAAUCCUACUAUAUGGCAAACAGAAAAGAAAGGAAAAUGGAACAAGGCAUAAGGUCCUAGGACUGCACAUGGCCUGUGAGAAGGUUGAGAGAGUCUGCAGUAGUGAUCUGUAACAGAACUGCCUGAUGGGACUGCCAAAUAAAAUGUGGCUGCUACUAAAAAAUACACUGCAAUGAAAAAAAAAAUAUGAAGACUAUUCAGUUUAAGCACUUGACUAAAUGUUUCCUGAUACAGUGCUACUCAAACAUUAAUACAAUAGAGUUGGGGGGUCAUUGGCAAACAAAACGUAACUAUAACAACCUAACACCAACAGUAAAUAAAGGAACCUUCCUGGGAGGAUCAACCUGGCAUCACUAUGAACAAGGGAGAUCUACAGAAUCACUUCAUGGAUUGCUCAGCUGUUGCUGAGCAUUUUUAAACUGUUACGUGGAUUAUGCUGACCUUAUAGGAGCAUUGGAUAAAAUGAUCCCAGUCAUUUAGAGUUUGUCCCCAACUUCAUAUCAUUUUACUUCCACGUGAGCAAUUUUUUCUAAGUUUGACAGACCCAGGUUUGUGUAUUGGUUAAGUUCUUUCAGCCCAACCUAUCGGAGGUGCCAUAUAACAUUACUAGGAGGGCAGCUUUGAAUAGCACACAAUGCUUGCUCAGGUUAUUGAUUGCCUGGAUGCAGGCAGGACAAUGAAUACUUCAGGGAGCUUCCAAAUAUCUUUCAGAGGUAAGAUGCUAUAAAAGUUAAAAGAGCUGAGGAUCAGGAUUGCCCAGGAGUUCUCAGUCUUACACGCGUGGCCAUAUGAGGAAGUCUUUAAUGGGUGCCGCGACUGAACUGUUCACAAGCACUGCAAUGCUCACGAGCCCCCACCAUCGCUAUUACUGGCACUCUUCCAGCAUGCCUGAUACCUAUAACUUAACGGUAUCAUGAGAGAAGACAGGUUCCUAAUAGGGGAAGCACAGCGGCGGACUCGUACAAAACUCCUGGGGACUCUGGGAACUUGUGGGAGGAAGCCAGUAUGAGCAAAUGAUAGACAGGGGGUUUUGCAGGUAUAGACUAAGCUACCACCAGGAAAGGAUUCAUAGCUGCAGAUCUUGGGAAAGAGCCCAUCAGCUGGCUGAAUCAGGUAAGUCAUAUGCUCCCCUCCUCAGCUUUUCUUUCCAGCUCAUGCUUGUUUUAUCUUCUGA